UACAGAGGGUGCGAGCGUUAAUCGGAAUUACUGGGCGUAAAGCGCACGUAGGCGGCUUGGUAUGUCGGGUGUGAAAUCCCCGGGCUCAACCUGGGAACUGCAUCCGAAACUGCCUUGCUCGAGUAUGGGAGAGGGAAGUGGAAUUUCCGGUGUAGCGGUGAAAUGCGUAGAUAUCGGAAGGAACAUCAGUGGCGAAGGCGACUUCCUGGACCAAUACUGACGCUCAGGCGCGAAAGCGUGGGGAGCAAACAGG
RNAcentral lists this ribosomal RNA (253 nucleotides) under uncultured bacterium. RNAcentral describes it as "partial 16S ribosomal RNA". It matches the Rfam family "Bacterial small subunit ribosomal RNA", at positions 524 to 776 of the family's 1533-position model. The record is from RNAcentral.